CGUAGGGGGCGAGCGUUGUCCGGAUUUAUUGGGCGUAAAGAGCUCGUAGGCGGUUUGGCAAGUCGGGUGUGAAAACUCCGGGCUCAACUCGGAGACGCCACUCGAUACUGCCAUGACUCGAGUCCGGUAGGGGAGUGCGGAAUUCCUGGUGUAGCGGUGAAAUGCGCAGAUAUCAGGAGGAACACCGGUGGCGAAGGCGGCACUCUGGGCCGGUACUGACGCUGAGGAGCGAAAGCGUGGGGAGCGAACAGGAUUAGAUACCCUGGUAGUCCACGCCGUAAACGUUGGGCACUAGGUGUGGGGCUCGAUCGACGGGCUCCGUGCCGUAGCUAACGCACUAAGUGCCCCGCCUGGGAAGUACGGCCGCAAGGCUA
Molecule: ribosomal RNA, 374 nt
Filed under: uncultured organism
Description: bacterial SSU rRNA
Rfam family: Bacterial small subunit ribosomal RNA
Source: RNAcentral